Ipomoea nil (Japanese morning glory) is the source of this 72-nucleotide transfer RNA. It matches the Rfam family "tRNA". From Rfam's summary of the family: Transfer RNA (tRNA) molecules are approximately 80 nucleotides in length. Their secondary structure includes four short double-helical elements and three loops (D, anti-codon, and T loops). The record is from Rfam. NCBI's taxonomy places the organism in Eukaryota, Viridiplantae, Streptophyta, Magnoliopsida, Solanales, Convolvulaceae.
GCCCGUCUAGCUCAGUCGGUAGAGCGCAAUACUCUUAACCUUGUGCUCUUGGCUUAAGCCCUAGGGUGGGCA